RNAcentral lists this ribosomal RNA (515 nucleotides) under uncultured soil bacterium. RNAcentral describes it as "bacterial SSU rRNA". It matches the Rfam family "Bacterial small subunit ribosomal RNA", at positions 26 to 525 of the family's 1533-position model. The record is from RNAcentral.
AGAAUCAACGCUGGCGGCGUGCCUCAGACAUGCAAGUCGAACGCGAAAGUCCCCUUCGGGGGGACAAGUAGAGUGGCGCACGGGUGAGUAACACGUAGGUAAUCUACCUUCGGGUGGGGAAUAACAACCGGAAACGGUUGCUAAUACCGCAUAAUGCAGCGGCACCUAAUGGUGACAGUUGUUAAAGCGGGGGAUCGCAAGAUCUCGCGCCUGAAGAGGAGCCUGCGGCGGAUUAGCUUGUUGGUAGGGUAACGGCCUACCAAGGCGACGAUCCGUAGCCGGCCUGAGAGGGCGGUCGGCCACACUGACACUGACACACGGGUCAGACUCCUACGGGAGGCAGCAGUCGGGAAUUUUGGGCAAUGGGCGAAAGCCUGACCCAGCAACGCGCGUGAAGGAUGAAUCCUCGGAUGUAACUUCGCGAAGAACGGAAGAAGAAGUAGGGACAAGUACCCCUAUGAUAGACGUACCGUUUGUAAGCUCCGGCUAACUCGUCGCAGCACGCCGCGGUAAUC